AGAGUUUGAUCAUGGCUCAGGACGAACGCUGGCGGUGUGCUUCACACAUGCAAGUCGAACGAGGUAGCAAUACCUAGUGGCGGACGGGUGAGUAACGCGUGGGAAUCUGCCCAAGGGUGGGGGAUAACUAGCCGAAAGGUUAGCUAAUACCGCAUAUGCCGUGAGGUAAAAGGAGUAAUCCGCCCCUGGAUGAGCCUGCGUCCGAUUAGCUAGUUGGUGGGGUAAAAGCCUACCAAGGCUACGAUCGGUAGCUGGUCUGAGAGGAUGAUCAGCCACAAUGGGACUGAGACACGGCCCAUACUCCUACGGGAGGCAGCAGUGGGGAAUUUUACGCAAUGGGGGAAACCCUGACGUAGCGACACCGCGUGAGCGAAGAAGCCCUUUGGGGUGUAAAGCUCUGUCAGCAGGAACGAAUAAAAUGACGGUACCUGCAGAGGAAGCAUCGGCUAACUACGUGCCAGCAGCCGCGGUAAGACGUAGGAUGCAAGCGUUGUCCGGAUUUAUUGGGCGUAAAGAGUUCGUAGGCGGUUUGUUAAGUUUGAUGUUAAAGAUCGGGGCCUAACCCUGGGAGUGCAUUGAAUACUGGCAGACUGGAGUGCAGUAGAGGCGAGUGGAAUUCCCAGUGUAGCGGUGAAAUGCGUAGAUAUUGGGAAGAACACCGGUGGCGCAGGCGACUCGCUGGGCUGUAACUGACGCUGAGGAACGAAAGCUAGGGGAGCAAAUGGGAUUAGAUACCCCGGUAGUCCAA
RNAcentral lists this ribosomal RNA (748 nucleotides) under uncultured bacterium. RNAcentral's name for it is "bacterial SSU rRNA". It matches the Rfam family "Bacterial small subunit ribosomal RNA", at positions 8 to 798 of the family's 1533-position model. The record is from RNAcentral.